CCAGUGAUGUUCUGGCAGGAUUUGCUCAAGGAGCCCUGGUGGCCUGCUGCAUAGUUUUCUUCGUGUCUGACCUCUUCAAGACUAAGACGACGCUCUCCCUGCCUGCCCCUGCUAUCCGGAAGGAAAUCCUUUCACCUGUGGACAUUAUUGACAGGAACAAUCACCACAACAUGAUUACUUGACAAACCAAACUUGAGAAGUAGCCCCGUUUCAUGCGGACUUAAGGAAACAAUGGAGCUGCGUGGUAUUGUGAGGAGCAGCAUGAUGUGGAGAAGGAAACAAGGACCUGGGGACUCAGACCCAGGUUGCAGUCUUGGCUCUGACACUUCCUGGCUAUGUGAUGUGACUUUGGACACGUUUCUUAACCUCUCUGAGCCUUGGGUUAUUGCUCGUUAAAGAUGAGAUUUACAAGAUCUGUUUUUAUACCUCUUUGCUCAUGGCAGUCUGUGAGCCUUGACUUGCUUCUUUAAAUGGGGUUCACGGACUAACAACAUUUGUAUCCCUGGGGAGCUUGGUAGAAAUAUAGACCUAGGAGAACCCCUGCCCCACCCCAACCUACAGAAUCAGAAUCUUCCUUUGGGUAGGAUCCCCAGGUGAUCUACAUGCACAAUAAGGUUUGAGAAAUACCCCCACUCUUUGCUCAUUAAACCUGCAGACUCUGUUCAGGUGUGCUUCCCCCAAGCCACACUCCUCCGGGGCUUGGCUCGGAGCAUGCUGGGUGCAGACAUCGGUAACCUCUUAGCUUAAUGUACCAAAAUUGCAUGCAUAAAGAUCUGUAUCAAGACUGUCAGAUUCUCAGGGGCAGAAGCAAGUCUUAUCCUCUGCAAAUCCUGCAUGUCUGCCUGGCACUGAAUAGUUCCCGGCAAUUUUGAACCAAUUAAUCAUCACCCGGGUCAAAAAGUCACAUGAUUCUUGGUAACCAUCCAAUUAAACAGGCUGCAGGGACAUAGAGAAUUGCAAAACAUUGACCCUGUCCUUAGGAAUUAAUGAGGACUUAAAUUUCCUCUGAGGUAGAGAUGGAAAAAAACAAAAACUUUAACAGCUAGAAAUCUGCAUAAGAUUCCUGCCAGUUAGAAUAAAUUCGUACAUUCAUUCGUUGAUUCCAAAGUAUUUCCAAAGAACUGUUUAUGUGCAAAAUCCUGACGCAGGUACUUUCAUGCAGUCUGCUUCAUUUAAAUCUUCAAAAACCACUGUUAAAGUAGAUAGGAUUGGGGGGAAAUGAAGAGAAGUUGGUUGAUAGGUAAAAAAAUACAAUUGAUAGAAGGAGUAAGUUCUAAUAUUGGAUAGUAUAUUAGAGAAAUUGUAGUUAACAAUAAUUUAUUGUGUAUUUCAAAAUAACUAGAAGAGAAGAAUUGCAAUGUUCCCAACAUAAAGAAAAGAUAAAUGUUUUAGAUGAUGGAUAUCCCCAUUACCCUGAUUUGAUCAUUGUAUAUCACACACAUGUAUCAAAGUAUCACAUGUACUCCAAAUGUUUGUACAACUAUGAUAUAUCAAU
RNAcentral lists this long non-coding RNA (1495 nucleotides) under Homo sapiens (human). RNAcentral's name for it is "HSALNT0007300". The record is from RNAcentral. Lineage: Eukaryota; Metazoa; Chordata; Mammalia; Primates; Hominidae.